This is a long non-coding RNA of Nerophis ophidion (straightnose pipefish), 2126 nucleotides long. RefSeq lists it as uncharacterized. The transcript is spliced from 3 exons. NCBI's taxonomy places the organism in Eukaryota, Metazoa, Chordata, Actinopteri, Syngnathiformes, Syngnathidae. The record is from RefSeq and is a predicted model, not a curated record.
GAUCCAAGAUGUCAACAACGUCGAGCGAUGAAGAGGAAAAUACUCUCAAUCAGCUAAAACACCUUAAAAAAGUUCGAAAAAAGAACAACAAAAUAUGCUACAUAGAUGUUACGUCUGUUUGGAAAGAAGAGGUGAAUGAUUUCACUAUCAAAAGGUGGGAUACUUACAGGAAUUGUUAAAAACGGUGGCUUUGCUGUGAUGGCGAGUCUUAUGAAGUAGCCAAGAUAUUGAAAUCCUGUAUCGGUGUUGAAUUUAAAGUUAUUCCUGAUGACGCUAGGCUUCACCCGACUUGUUACCGGUGGUCCGUUGAUAAGAAGCGUUUGGAUUCUGCCAAAAACUGGCCAAACGGUUGGAUGUGGGUCAAAAUGAGUUUGUGGCAUCGGACAACGCUUCAGUCUCGACAAGUGACAUUCCAAAGAAAAAACUAAGAUCGAAGACAGGCCUGCCUAUCGGUUCUGCUGGCCCUGUGCUCCCUGCCAUUUCUAUCAUUUGCAAGAAAACCAACGAGAGAAUUACCGUGGGAGGCAACCGGCAGAAGGACCAUCUUUCACAGGCAGAAACGCUUUCAGCAGAAGUGAACCAACCUUUGAUGCCAACUACAACAUAUUCUGAGAGAGGAUCAUAUGCCAAAAGAUAAUUGUUAAUCAGAAGGUGCUGAGAAUGAACCAACUAUGACGAAUGUUUUUAAAUACGGUGCAAAAACAUGAAGAUUGUGAUCCUUCGAAUUACAGGCAGGAUAAAUUGAAGAGAAGACUGACUCUGGGCUUUCCCAACUGGUGUUUUUCUUCAUGGGACACAGUCGUCAGUCUAGACACUAGCCUUGCCCAACUACAACUACUACAGGGCAGAGACAAAAUUGGAUUCUCGAAGAAGACUCCUACAAUACUGGUGUGGGACAAUAUUGACUUUGAGGAGGAGACACUGUCAGGUCGUGGAACUACUCACCAUACGAAUGCUGUACCUGUCUGCAUUUACACAUCUGGGAAGCAGUUUUGAAUUGGACCAGUCAACAUUUGAUGUGCUAAGGAAAUAUGUGUGCCACCUGUAAGGCCAUUCAUCUGCAGAAAAUGUCAACGCUGCAAGGUCCAGAGCAUUCUGCAUGGCAUCAUCAGCUUUGCCAGAACUCUCAAUGUCCCCUACAAGUGACGCCCUGCACCAACAUUGCAAAAGGGCAAACUACCAGGCUGCAAUAAUGAGAAUCUCAAAGGUAUAAUGUCUGCUCAAUCACCCAAUGGCAAUGGAUGGCACAUUGUGGAUGGAUGGUUAAUAGUUACAUGGAUGACUACAAAUCCUGCCCCUGAUCGUGUGUUAAAGGUAGUCCACUGCAGCUGAAAGCAGAACAAAUGUGAGACAGGAAGAUUUCCUGUAUGUCUGUACGACUGUCUUGUACUCAUUUGCAUUGGUGCCAAAAUUGUGCCAAUAUUUCCAUGGAAACGGAGGAUAAAGAACCUGGGAAGAUGGCUCUGAUGAUAGUGAUAGCUAAGAGAUGAAAAUUGUCUCCCUCCUUCAGAAUACGCAAAGUCACACUUAAUCAGUUAGUUCUCUAAUAAAAAUUUGAGUUUUUUCCACAUUUGAGAAAAUCCCUCAGAGUAUUUCACUAUGUCUUUUUUUAGUUACUUAAGUUAAAUACUUUCAAAAUAGAAUGUGAGGUUACAGUGUACUUGACCAUAAAAAUGUAAUAAUCAUAGUUUGAGUUUGUGCCAAAUUUGAGGAAAAUCUAUCAAAUAAUUCUUGAGAUAUGGCUUUAACAAUGUGCUAAGUUAAGACAAAAUAACAAAAAAAUAUAUAUAUAAAAAUACCCAAGACCUGCUGUGACAUCAACACAUUGUUUUGUUCAUGUAAAUAUUGUUUUAUACCAUAUUGUGUACAGAUCCUAAACUGUAAUGCCGUUUUUGUUGUAUUUCCAUUUUUCGGCAUUAUUCGAUAUUUUGAUUGUUGUCAGCCAUUUUGGGCCAAAGUCUUCUUCAUUUCAUUUUAUUUUUUACUUCCUCUCAUAACACAGUAUCUACUGAAAUUUUUAAUGUAUAAAACAUUAUUGUUAAGCAAAAUGUACCAUGUUUAUGUUCAAUUGUACAGGUUGCUAUUCACUUACUUUGAAGAGUUUUUUUUUCAUUUGUUUUGUAUGU